RNAcentral lists this ribosomal RNA (497 nucleotides) under uncultured bacterium. RNAcentral describes it as "partial 16S ribosomal RNA". It matches the Rfam family "Bacterial small subunit ribosomal RNA", at positions 28 to 507 of the family's 1533-position model. The record is from RNAcentral.
GACGAACGCUGGCGGCGUGCCUAAUACAUGCAAGUCGAACGCUGAAGAGAGGAGCUUACUCUUCUUGGAUGAGUUGCGAACGGGUGAGUAACGCGUAGGUAACCUGCCUUGUAGCGGGGGAUAACUAUUGGAAACGAUAGCUAAUACCGCAUAACAAUGGAUGACACAUGUCAUUUAUUUGAAAGGGGCAAUUGCUCCACUACAAGAUGGACCUGCGUUGUAUUAGCUAGUAGGUGAGGUAAUGGCUCACCUAGGCGACGAUACAUAGCCGACCUGAGAGGGUGAUCGGCCACACUGGGACUGAGACACGGCCCAGACUCCUACGGGAGGCAGCAGUAGGGAAUCUUCGGCAAUGGGGGCAACCCUGACCGAGCAACGCCGCGUGAGUGAAGAAGGUUUUCGGAUCGUAAAGCUCUGUUGUAAGCCAAGAACGGGUGUGAGAGUGGAAAGUUCACACUGUGACGGUAGCUUACCAGAAAGGGACGGCUAACUACGUG